RNAcentral lists this ribosomal RNA (693 nucleotides) under uncultured bacterium. RNAcentral describes it as "bacterial SSU rRNA". It matches the Rfam family "Bacterial small subunit ribosomal RNA", at positions 9 to 689 of the family's 1533-position model. The record is from RNAcentral.
GAGUUUGAUCCUGGCUCAGAACGAACGCUGGCGGCGUGCUUAACACAUGCAAGUCAGGGAGAAAGUCUCUUCGGGGAUGAUUAAACCGGCGCACGGGUGAGUAACACGUGAGUGACCUGCCUUUUAGACUGGAACAACUUACCGAAAGGUGAGCUAAUGCCGGAUGAGUUAUAUAAGUGCAUGUUUAUAUAGGAAAAGUUGGGGAGACCUGACGCUGAAAGAUGGACUCGCGUCCCAUUAGCUAGUUGGUAGGGUAAUGGCCUACCAAGGCGACGAUGGGUAGCCGGCCUGAGAGGGUGGCCGGCCACACUGGGACUGAGACACGGCCCAGACUCCUACGGGAGGCAGCAGUGGGGAAUUUUGCGCAAUGCUCGUAAGAGUGACGCAGCGACGCCGCGUGAAUGACGAAGGCCUUCGGGUCGUAAAGUUCUUUUGACAGGGAAGAAAAUGCCUAUAAGUAACUGUGUAUGUAUUGACGGUACCUGUAUAAGCAGCCCCGGCUAACUCCGUGCCAGCAGCCGCGGUAAUACGGAGGGGGCGAGCGUUGUUCGGAGUGACUGGGCGUAAAGAGCACGUAGGCGGUGUUGUAAGUCAUUAGUCAAAGACUAGAGCUCAACUUUAGUAAGGCUAGUGAUACUAUAAUACUAGAGUAUCAGAGAGGAUUGCAGAAUUCCUGGUGUAGCGGUGAAAUGC